RNAcentral lists this ribosomal RNA (463 nucleotides) under uncultured bacterium. RNAcentral's name for it is "partial 16S ribosomal RNA". It matches the Rfam family "Bacterial small subunit ribosomal RNA", at positions 28 to 507 of the family's 1533-position model. The record is from RNAcentral.
GAUGAACGCUGACAGAAUGCUUAACACAUGCAAGUCGAUGGGGAAGUGGUGCUUGCACCAUGGUAACCAUGGCGGACGGGUGAGUAACGCGUAAGGAACUUGCCUGCGGGACUGGGAUAACAGCAGGAAACUGCUGAUAAUACCGGAUAAGGUCAUUAAGCUGCAUAGCUUAGUGAUGAAAGGAGACGCCUGCGGAGAGCCUUGCGUCCUAUUAGCUAGUUGGAGGGGUAACGGCCCACCAAGGCGAAGAUAGGUAGCCGGCCUGAGAGGGUGGACGGCCACAAGGGGACUGAGAUACGGCCCUUACUCCUACGGGAGGCAGCAGUGGGGAAUAUUGGACAAUGGGGGCAACCCUGAUCCAGCAAUUCUGUGUGCACGAAGACGGUUUUCGGAUUGUAAAGUGCUUUCAGCAGGGAAGAAGGAAGCGACGGUACCUGCAGAAGAAGCGACGGCUAAAUACGUG